AGUGAACGCUGGCGGUAGGCCUAACACAUGCAAGUCGAACGGCAGCACAGUAAGAUCUUGCUCUUACGGGUGGCGAGUGGCGGACGGGUGAGGAAUACAUCGGAAUCUACUUUUUCGUGGGGGAUAACGUAGGGAAACUUACGCUAAUACCGCAUACGCCCUACGGGGGAAAGCAGGGGAUAUUCGGACCUUGCGCGAUUGAAUGAGCCGAUGUCGGAUUAGUUAGUUGGCGGGGUAAAUGCCCAGCAAGGCGACGAUCCGUAGCUGGUGUGAGAGGAUGAUCAGCGACAUUGGAACUGGGCCACGGUCCAGACUACUACGGGAGGCAGCAGUGGGGAAUGGUAGACAACAGGGGGAAGCCUGAUCCAGCCAUACCGCGUGGGUGACGAAGGCCUUCGGGUUGUAAAGACCUUUUGUUGGGAAAGAAAAGCAGCAGGUUAAUACCCAGCUGUUGUGACGGUACCCAAAGAAUAAGCACCGGCUAACCUCGUG
This 492-nucleotide ribosomal RNA is filed under the name uncultured bacterium. RNAcentral's name for it is "partial 16S ribosomal RNA". It matches the Rfam family "Bacterial small subunit ribosomal RNA", at positions 29 to 507 of the family's 1533-position model. The record is from RNAcentral.